UACGGAGGGAGCUAGCGUUGUUCGGAAUUACUGGGCGUAAAGCGCGCGUAGGCGGUUUUUUAAGUCAGGGGUGAAAGCCCGGAGCUCAACUCCGGAAUAGCCUUUGAAACUGGAAGACUUGAAUCUUGGAGAGGUCAGUGGAAUUCCGAGUGUAGAGGUGAAAUUCGUAGAUAUUCGGAAGAACACCAGUGGCGAAGGCGACUGACUGGACAAGUAUUGACGCUGAGGUGCGAAAGCGUGGGGAGCAAACAGG
Molecule: ribosomal RNA, 253 nt
Filed under: uncultured prokaryote
Also listed under: 1 other name
Description: partial 16S ribosomal RNA
Rfam family: Bacterial small subunit ribosomal RNA
Source: RNAcentral